AGAACUCGUGAGCAACUCCUUAGUGGAUUGGGCUGAAAGAAAAUCAAACCCGUGAAAGCCCUGAAUUGAUGUGGUUAUGAAAGCGCAUUGGCCAAGCUGGCUUUCCUUCCUCUGACCCCCAUCUAACUAUGGUGAACGCCCUCGUGUUCAAGAUGGGGGGCCCCUGUUAUUGCAUCUUCACACAUGAUGUCCAAAGCAGGAAGACAGGAAGAGAAGCAAAAAGGGAUUUCUUCUUUGGCUACUAUCUCUUUUAUUGAGCAGGAUAAACCUGCCUCAGCAGACUGCUCCUAUGUUUCACUGACUGUGAGUCACAUGAUUCAUACCUACACAAGUCACUAGGAAAGAGCAGUAGAGAUGCCACAGUUGCCUUAGCCUGGCUGGAUUUGUUCCCUCAGGCUGGACCCAGAACCACCUGAUAAAACUCAGGAUUUAACAAACUAAGAAGGAUGCCAGCUCCAGGAAUGGGCUUAAGGAAACCUAUCUAUUUGCUUAAGGAUUGAGCUUGCCGUCCUGAUCCAGCCAACUCACCAACUGUGCUCCUUCCAUUCCAGUAUUCUCUCCCAGGAAAAAAUUUUUCUUCUACUAUGGUUCUGGCUUUGUGAUCUGUGUACAUUUAAUCAUUCGUGCAGAGCUUUAAAAUUUAUAGUGUGCUUCCAUGUGUAUUAUAAAAUUUGAAUGUUAAUUUUACAACGUGUUUGUACCAAUUUUAUCGCAGAGGACAGAAUUUAGGCCUAGGGAUGAUGUCUAAAAUCAUGCCACAAGAUGUGGUAACAUCAGAACCCUGGCUCAGGGCUUCUGACACUUUUCAGUGAGUUCUUCUUGAGGUAUUUGGCGCCAUUUGCUCUGUACUGAUCAGAGCAUCAAAAUCAGCAGGAUCAAAACAACAGCCAGCCAAUCUAGGCAAAAUCAUUGUACAGACAAUCAUUGGUGUGAACUGACUGAUCGUGCCAAUAGAAUUGACCCUCUUGAUUGUAUGGAUAUGGACAUUCUCAUGUAGGUAGCCAAGUGUCCUGGUGUACUUGGGACUGAGGGGCUUCCCAGAAUGUGGGACUUCCAGGUUUCAAACCAGAACGGUCCCAGUUUUCAAUUUUAGAACAGGAGAAGUCCCAAGAAAACCAGGGCAAGUUGGUCCCCUUAGUCUCAGCCUCUAUCUGCUACCAAACUGUGCUUUCCUGCAUUCUUUGCCCUACGAAGUUCACAAGCUCCCAGUUUUCUUAGCAAACCAACAAUGUGUCUACUUUUGUUUUGUAAAUGACUUUUUCACAUUUAAAAUAUCUAAAUUAAGAGAGCCACAGGUAUAUGUUAGAUAUUCUUUGCUUCUUCCACAGUUGAGAAUUUCCAUGGGAAAUUAGUAGAAAUAGUUUUCCUUGGUUGUGAGGAAAUGCAUGCAGGAAGACCUUGUAAAUUUUAUUUCUUUUCUUUUUCUGCUACCAAGCCCAAUGCAGGCACUUGGCAGCCAAUGUCAGCAGUUAACCAGUUGAGUUGAAUAUAUUUAAAGAUGUUCCAUCCCCUCCACUGGUUCUCUAUAGCUGGUCUUGGACAGUCUGUUAGAAAUCAUCUAGGACUCUUUAAAAAUAAAAACUGCCUGGGCUCUCCCCUGGGCCUAUAUUGGGCAGGAGGUGGGUAGGUAAGGGAAUAUGGAAUGGGUUUGGGGCCCAGGGACUUGCGCUUUUCACAAAGUUCCCCAUGUAAUUCCUGACAUGCUGCCAGCUUCACAAGCAACUGGCUAGAAUCUGUCAUUCAACCUUUUUGAGUGACAACUGAAAUUGUAAUUAUGCUGUUAAAAGAGAACCGUAUAAAAUUGCACAAUCGCUUGUCUUUGUCUUUCUUCCCUUCUCUCCCUUUUUCUCCCUUUCUUUUCCUUUUCUUUAGUGGGAUCAUUCAUAAGAACAUUGGGGGCAAUUUUGGGACAUGUUCAUGAAAGGAAACUUAUAGAUAUUUAAAGUGAAUUUAAACAUGCCUUCUAAAAACUCAGAAAGCUACUUGCUACUUAAUGUCUGUAGAGACAUAAGGCUUGAACAAAAUCUCAGAAUAAAGAGAUCUCUGGGUUCAUCCCCAGCAAGGGGACAUCUCUGGCUGUGUUAUUUACCUGCUGUUAUCUGUUACUGUCCUCCAGUCUACCCCGUCUCCAUGGUCUACACCCACGUGAGAAUCAGUGGACAGAAAGAGAUUUGAUUUACACUGCUCAUUAGGCUACCAGAGCCUCUUGGCUGAGCCAGGCGACCGAGAUGAAAAUUAGUGACAAAUCACAGCCCUGCUUCCUAUAAUGUGACAAAAGCAAGCCCCAUAGCAGUAAAGGUUCUCAUUAGGGCCCCUUUAAAUGCUCAGACUGAUUCUAUUUUUUAAGUCACCAGAAUAGUUAAUACAACGUGUGGGACAACACGAUUUCCAUUGGGGCGCAAUCAAAAAGAAAGCUACUUUCCAUACUUUCUUUAAUCUCUCUCCUCACAUCAACCUGAAGCAGAGCGGAGGUACCCCUGGGAUUCUUGCUCAUCAGCCCUGCCUCCUACAAAAGGGAGAUUUUUGCCUAGACAGCUCCAAAGAGUCUCGAUUCAAAGGUAAAACAAUUAGUACACAUUAAUCAUCACAAGGAUGGUACUAAAAGCAUAAUCCUCUUAGAACUGGAACAAAUUAAAUCCAAAGUAGCAACAUAAAAUCAAGCAGAAAAAACCACCAAGUGAAGGAAGCUGAGAGGACCCUGCUCUGAUGCUCCAAUUCCCAUUGCCUAAGAGGGUGCCCAAGCAUCCCUCAUCUUUGGUCUUUUCACAAAAACUACACUGCCUUCUUCAGCUGCCUGUAAAACUCAAAAGCUCUUUGUGCUGGGGCCAUGUAACCACCUCCUCAGAAAUCGUGAAGUUCUGUGAACACCUACGAGUUGGAAUUCCACAGGAUGGGAUCUGAUUGAUUUUCUAAAAGUGGACAGUUGCUCACAGAACCUGGAAUAAACCCACCAAGGACUUGUAUGGGAGGAGAAAAAAAAAAACAAAAAACCUUCUUUUUCUGCAAAGGAGAAUCUGCUUAAACUUCUAAAUGAGGCCUGGACUACGUUUGAUUUUGACAAGGAAUGGGUGCUCCCUUCGUACCCCACCUGAUGACCCCUGCCUCCUUUUGUUAGUGUUUUUCUGAGCUUCAGUCUGUGAGGCUGGGAAGAAAAGCCACGUAAUGAAAUAAGUAGUGCUGCCAACACCCUCUGUAACAACUGCCAGGCAUGUGGGAUGGGCCCAUCAAUAAGAAAGAUACAAUAUUAUCUUGAGGCCAAUGAUGAAUGUUUGAAAUCCAGGAAGGACAAAGGUAUCCUUCUCACUUUGUCUUGGGGUGUCUUUCAAGAGACUCUGGAUGUUCUCUUGAUUUCUUUCCCUCCUUCCUUUUCACAUUUUCCCAGGUUCCCAGCUAUAUACUAUAGUUUUCCUUGUUCUAGAAACAGUCUCAUUUCAAGUAUACACCUUUCUUCGUGGAAAUAACCAGGCUCUUUUUCUCUGAAUCUUCAGGGUGUCAGAGUAACAAUGGGGCACCAACAAACUCAUGAACUUCUCUCUUGUUCUCACAUAGCCUAACUGAUGCACUGUUAUGUGAGAAGACCUCCUUCCCACCAGAAGUGAGAGAGGGAGGGUCAGAGGAAAUUAAGAGAACACAGAGCCCAUCUUGCCACCAAAGGAACAUGGAACUUGCUAUGUUAUUUGCACACUAAAAGAGAAUUAUAAAAGAUAGGACCAUGCUUAAAACAAGGAAUUACUGGUGGACUUUCAUGUCAGUGUGGGAAAUAUUGGAGAUAAAUGUAUCUUCCCAGAACCCAUACAUCCUGCUUAUAAAAUUGGAACCUCUUCAGAUAUAAUCAGAUUCCUUACUAUGAGAGUAACCCAAUUUACAAAUCCAGUUCCUGUAAUUUAUGUUGAAGCUAUUAAUAUUUACUUGCCCAGAAUUUUUAACUAUCCAUUUUUUUUCUCAUCUUUCUCCACUUUCCUCCUCUCAGUAUACAACCACUGGAAACGAAUUACAUAAUGCUAGGAAAAAGGCCAAGGAGUCAUUGGCCUGAGUUGAGACUCAUCCUUGCAAACACCCCAGAGUUCUCCUAUCUCAGUGCUGUUUGUCUGUAGGAUGGAUUAGGGAGGUGUUCGUUUAUCCACCCACGGCAGAGUGCAGGUUAUGUGAUUGUGAACCUUGUGACAUUUCCAAGAUGGAACAUAUUCAGCUUUUGAUGAGAUUAUUAGCUUUCCCCUUGUCCGAGUCUAACAAAUGAAAACCAGAUUUGCAUGUAUAAAUAACAAUCAAGCGCUGAAAUGAUUUACUUAGUAAAGUUACUGUUUUGGAAACUAAAUCGAUGUGUCAUGUCAAGAUCUGAUCUGCCCUCCACUCACAUGGCAAAGGAGACUUCUCCAGGGUCUACUAGAAAAA
Molecule: long non-coding RNA, 4392 nt
Filed under: Homo sapiens (human)
Lineage: Eukaryota; Metazoa; Chordata; Mammalia; Primates; Hominidae
Description: HSALNT0330460
Source: RNAcentral